GGUACCGCCUGCCCAGUGACUCUUUAAACGGCCGCGGUAUCCUAACCGUGCAAAGGUAGCAUAAUCACUUGUCCCAUAAAUCGAGACUAGAAUGAAUGGCUAAAUGAAGACUAAACUGUCUCUUGCAGGCAAGCCAAUGAAAUUGAUUUUCCAGUACAAAAGCUGAAAUAUAACCAUAAGACGAGAAGACCCUGUGGAGCUUCAAAACCAAACUCAUCAACCAUGCUUCCUUGGGUUUUUAGUUGGGGCGACUUCGGAGCAUAAAAAAACCUCCGAAAUAUGAAAUUUGACUGAGACCAACACACCAAAAACAAUAUCAUAAGACCCAGCAACCACCUCGUGUUGACUGACCAAUGAACCAAGUUACCCCAGGGAUAACAGCGCCAUCCCCUUCUAGAGUCCCUAUCGACAAGGGGGUUUACGACCUCGAUGUUGGAUCAGGACACCCCAAUGGUGCAGCCGCCAUUAAAGGUUCGUUUGUUCAACGAUUAAAGUCCUA
This 499-nucleotide ribosomal RNA is filed under the name Iberolacerta bonnali. RNAcentral describes it as "partial 16S ribosomal RNA". It matches the Rfam family "Bacterial large subunit ribosomal RNA", at positions 1851 to 2598 of the family's 2925-position model. Lineage: Eukaryota; Metazoa; Chordata; Lepidosauria; Squamata; Lacertidae. The record is from RNAcentral.